AGCCCCAAGGUGUUUAACAUAUAAGAUUGCAAAUCUUAAGUGGCAGCCUAAUGAUCUGCUGGGGCUU
Molecule: transfer RNA, 67 nt
Filed under: Malacocottus zonurus (darkfin sculpin)
Lineage: Eukaryota; Metazoa; Chordata; Actinopteri; Perciformes; Psychrolutidae
Description: tRNA-Cys
Source: RNAcentral